Molecule: non-coding RNA, 634 nt
Organism: Drosophila suzukii
Lineage: Eukaryota; Metazoa; Arthropoda; Insecta; Diptera; Drosophilidae
Source: RefSeq, a predicted model, not a curated record
ACUAAAUUUUCACUCAAUAAGUGACAGUCAUGGGAUCAAGGUUUAACCUCUUGGGUAUCCUCGUUUGCCUAUUGUUUCUCCUUGUCAAUGUGGAUGGCAAAGGCAAUAAGCAUCACUCGCCCGACGACAGACAGCGUCAUAUUCGCCCCCACAAUAUCCAUAGACCUCCCUAUGAGGGUUACGAGUGGUACAAACAUUAUAACCGAGAUUCCGAUUCGGACAUAAGCGCUCCAAAAGAAAAGGUAUAGAAACACCAUAAAUCCAGGCCUGAGGUUGUGAAUAGAAUGAGGGCGAGAAAUGGACCAAAAGGAGCCCAAUUGACUCAGGUCCUGAAACCAUCUAUUUUAAAAUUUAGGCAUUUGUACGAUUCCGUGUUUAAAAAGCAUCCAGAAGCCCGUCGCACCUUAAUUCUCUUAAAAGACAUCAUCAUCAUGACUUUAUCAACUAAAAUAAUUGAAUUGGUAUCUUAUAAUAAGUGUAGUAAGCGUUGCUCUAAAACAGAUCCUAGAGUUUGGUUUCCCGGAAGAAACUAAUGACUGACCCAAGAUCGUUUAGUUUAGGCAGCAGCCAUAACUUUAAUUUCGACUAUCUUGCUUCAACUUAAUACACAUAGACGUCGGCUAACUUAAUCACA